Molecule: ribosomal RNA, 876 nt
Filed under: Triticum aestivum (bread wheat)
Lineage: Eukaryota; Viridiplantae; Streptophyta; Magnoliopsida; Poales; Poaceae
Description: partial small subunit ribosomal RNA
Source: RNAcentral
AUGCCUCAGCCCCCUGAGCUCGCUGCCGUCGUCCGCCGCGCUAACAUCGAUUUGGCCACUUUGGGCAGCGACAGCUUCUGCCUCAGCGUGGAUUGCUGGAACGGGCUCCUCCUCCUCACCUCCUACCUGCACCACGGCCCUCCAAUAAGAACAGUCCGCUAUCCGUUGUACCCUGCGAGAUACACGACCAUCCUCCCGCCAGUUCCGCAAACCAGCAUCCAUCACGACGACUCCGCAUACUACGGCAGAGAGUUCAUCCUCAAAGGCGGCGACGACGGCCUGUCCUCCUUCUAUCUGGCACUGGGCGUGGAAGGGCAGCAGACCAUUGUGGAUGUGUAUGUCUUACAAGAUGAUAUCUGGGCCAUCUACUCUUCGGUUGCAAGUGAAUUCACUGGUAUUUCGCUACGACUCGAUCUUGCUAGUUUGGUUGGUGACGGCAAGAUCUAUACUCUGGCCUAUGUGGGCGGGAUUAAUAUGUUAAUCGUGCUAGAUCUUGUGUCCGCCUCUCUGUCGUUAGUUAACCUCCCAGAAGAGGAACUUCAAAUACGCAUCUGGCUCCACGGGGUGGAUGGCAAUAAUGGUGCUGCCAACUGGUUCCUUGUGAAUACCAUUUGUUUACGUGAGAUAUGUGCUAAUCAUAUGAUACCGAGUCAUGGCUUCAAGGAUGCAGAUGUACAUGCACCUGGGUUCAAUUCUGAGUUUAUUUUCAUCGAGGCGGACAAUGCCCUCUAUCUUUUUUAUAUUAAACGCAAGGUGUUAAAAAAGGUUUACGACGUGACAGAAGAGGAUGAUUACGUGUUUAGUGUCAGCCCCUUUAUGAUGGUUUGGCCUCCAAAAUUCCCUCUGAUGAAGGAAGGACGUGAUCUGAAAGAAUAA